Molecule: ribosomal RNA, 172 nt
Filed under: Steinernema pakistanense
Lineage: Eukaryota; Metazoa; Nematoda; Chromadorea; Rhabditida; Steinernematidae
Description: partial 18S ribosomal RNA
Rfam family: Eukaryotic small subunit ribosomal RNA
Source: RNAcentral
GUACACACCGCCCGUCGCUGCCCGGGACUGAGUUGUUUCGAGAAAAAUGGGGAUUGUGACUUUGUGCUUUUUCGAAAGUGCAUUGUUGCGAGAACCGUGUUAAUCGAAACGACUUGAACCGGGCAAAAGUCGUAACAAGGUUUCCGUAGGUGAACCUGCGGAAGGAUCAUUA